Micropterus dolomieu (smallmouth bass) is the source of this 811-nucleotide long non-coding RNA. RefSeq lists it as uncharacterized. NCBI's taxonomy places the organism in Eukaryota, Metazoa, Chordata, Actinopteri, Centrarchiformes, Centrarchidae. The transcript has 2 exons. The record is from RefSeq and is a predicted model, not a curated record.
CAAUCGAUGAAAUGAGGAAAAUACCUCCAUGUGUCAGACUGAAUGAGCCAGAUCAUCUUGAAACUCUUAUUUAAUACUUUGUUCUAACGAUCUCUUUUCUGGUGAUUGGUUAGGUUUUGCAUCCCUGGAUCAGGAAAGAAAAAGACAGAAAAACACAAUCGCUCAAGCUGCUCCAUCAUCAGUGAACAAGUGGCUGGGCUCCAAUGUAUGUGUUUUAGUCGGUGCAGCGGGUGAGACCAGCAGGGUGGAUCAGCACUGUGGACGCGGUUGCUGUUGGAGAGUUCAGCCAGUAGGUCUCAUACACAUGUGGCAGGUGACAGAAGUCACACACAUGCAGAGUCACUGCUGCCUGCACGUGAGUCGGCUGCAUCACGGCUGCCUGUGUAUCAGGAGCCUCCAUUACGCUUGUCUGUAAGAUAGAAGGCUCCAUCACUGCUGUCUGUGACGGAGAAAGCACCAUCACUGCUGUGUGAGAGAGAGAAGGCUCCAUCACUGCUGUGUGAGAGAGAGAAGGCUCCAUCACUGCUGUGUGAGAGAGAGAAGGCUCCAUCACUGCUGUGUGAGAGAGAGAAGGCUCCAUCACUGCUGUGUGAGAGAGAGAAGGCUCCAUCACUGCUCUGUGAGAGAGAGAAGGCUCCAUUGACGCUCUCUGUGACGGAGAAGGCUCCUUCACUGCUGUCUGCACUGGGGUCACACACAGCUUCUUGGCCCGUUGAGUGGCCUCUCUGAGUUUAGAUGCAGACGCUGCCACACAAACAAAGUCGUAAUAUUGUUGAUAUUAUGUUGAAUAAAUUCACAUUUCCUUUUAAAA